Molecule: ribosomal RNA, 582 nt
Filed under: uncultured bacterium
Lineage: Bacteria
Description: partial 16S ribosomal RNA
Rfam family: Bacterial small subunit ribosomal RNA
Source: RNAcentral
UGGGGAAUAUUGCACAAUGGGCGCAAGCCUGAUGCAGCCAUGCCGCGUGUGUGAAGAAGGCCUUCGGGUUGUAAAGCACUUUCAGCGAGGAGGAAGGUGGUGAGCUUAAUACGCUCAUCAAUUGACGUUACUCGCAGAAGAAGCACCGGCUAACUCCGUGCCAGCAGCCGCGGUAAUACGGAGGGUGCAAGCGUUAAUCGGAAUUACUGGGCGUAAAGCGCACGCAGGCGGUUUGUUAAGUCAGAUGUGAAAUCCCCGGGCUCAACCUGGGAACUGCAUUUGAAACUGGCAAGCUAGAGUCUCGUAGAGGGGGGUAGAAUUCCAGGUGUAGCGGUGAGAUGCGUAGAGAUCUGGAGGAAUACCGGUGGCGAAGGCGGCCCCCUGGACGAAGACUGACGCUCAGGUGCGAAAGCGUGGGGAGCAAACAGGAUUAGAUACCCGUGGUAGUCCACGCUGUAAACGAUGUCGAUUUUGGAGGUUGUGCCCUUGAGGCGUGGCUUCCGGAGCUAACGCGUUAAAUCGACCGCCUGGGGAGUACGGCCGCAAGGUUAAAACUCAAAGGAAUUGACGGGGUCAUAGCUG